Molecule: long non-coding RNA, 3822 nt
Organism: Mirounga angustirostris (Northern elephant seal)
Lineage: Eukaryota; Metazoa; Chordata; Mammalia; Carnivora; Phocidae
Exons: 8
Source: RefSeq, a predicted model, not a curated record
GUGGGGAGGCGGGGCGCCCCGGCCGGGCACCCGGCGCUGCUUCCCGGACCCGAGGGAUCCCCGGCAGCGGCGCGCCCGGCCCGGGCCGGAGUGCCGGCGGCUUCCGCCCUCCCUAGGACGCUCCAGCCACGGAAAGAAGCAGGAAUUGUUCAAAUCUGAGGAACCGCGACUAGCCCGCCCAUCCUGUCCAGCGACCCUCUCGUCUGUCCAGACUCGACUCUCCCAUUGCACGAGGACUUUCCUGUUUACACUGACCCACUCGAAUCCACCCGACCUCUCUGUUUAGUCAGCCCCUACUCAGGCCACACCAGCCUUGCAUGUCUACAUUGACACCCCCCCCCCCCGACACACACACACAUACCACCACGGUCUACACUGACUUUCUUAGCCCCUUUACCUCUCUGUCUCCACUUGCUGUCCACACAGACCCUAAUGUCAACCCUAAUAGGAAAGAGUUUGGCUGGAGGCCCGUGGCAGCCCCCAGUGCGGGAUUUUCCAUUAUGCCAGAACAUUCCAUUUCAGCACCAGUCUUCCCUGGUAACUCUCCAGCUCUGGUUUUUAUUCCCUGACCUCUCCUUCCUCCCCUACCUCCCCCUCGUCUGGUUUUGAAUUUCAGAGGAAACAUAGCCCCUACCGCCAGCCUGAAGGAAGCCACCCUCUGAAAUGAUCCACAUGGACCCCCCACGUGUGAACAUGUAGGAAUCCACUGGGCUACGAUCUGCAGCAGCGCCGUACCCGACAGUGUAGCUGUGGGCAUCAUGGAAGUGUAGCUAAGGUUUGCACGGUCUAGGAUCGGUUAAGUUCUGGCAAUUUGAGGCACUCAUAAUGUCUUAGAGAUCAUUUUGAGUGAUCCUCAAAUGAAAGAAGGAAAAACACACUCCACGAAUCCUUCCUCAGUGGCGUCUAUAGGUACAGGUAUGAGGAUUCUCCCAGUUUCCCUGCUGGCCUUAUCAGAGGGGAGAAGCCUUGUUGUAUCCCCAUCUACACAGAAGAAGACCACCUUUGGUCUCUGUGUGAGGGUGCCAGUCCCAGAGUGUUGCGGUACCUCCAGGGUUCAAACUAGAUAGCAGCUCGCUGUGGGGGGCCGGCUUGGCUUGUCAGUAGAAUGGGAAAAGCUGUGUGAAUUAGAAUCACAGAGGGCUUGUCUACCCUCCCUCCAGCCCACCCUUCUUUCAUCCCCAGAGCCUGAAUGCAAAUAAGGAUUUCCACAGUCUGAAGCCCAGAUCUUCCUCUGCAGUGGGGCUUGGCUCUGCUGGGAGCUGUUGGGAGUUGGACAUAGCUGCCUAUGAAGGAUCUGCUCUGGCCUAGACAUGAGUUCCAUUUCAUCUGGAGCACUGUUAUCUUGCUGGUGUUUGUGAUCUCUUCUGGGUUAUGCCCUGCCCUGCUCUGUGGCAUAUGGAAUAUGUUCCAUGGUUGGCAAGGAUCUCUCGCGUGAAUGGCAGUGAGAAAGCAGAAUUUUACCUCCUCCUUCUUUGCCAAGGCGAGCAAUCUACUGAUGAAAAAGAAAAAGAAAACUGUGUUGCCCAUGCUCACCUGGGGUCUGGAAGCAGAUAAUCCCUCUGACAUAGUCUUAGAAGGUCAAUAAUAGCUGAAUGCUACAUCACAAUGCUGGCAUCCCACCUCACUUCAUCUUAUUAUGUAUCAUUUUAUUAUCUCAUAUCAAUCAUCACAAGAAGAAGGAGAGAGAGAGGAGCAGAAGGAGAGGGACCAGCAGACUCCCAGCUGAGUGUGGAGCCCGAGGUGGGCAUGGAGCCUGAAGUGAGGCUCGAUCUCAUGACCUUGAGACCACAACUUGAGCCAAAAUCAAGAGCCGGACGCUUAACCAACUGAACCACCCAGAUGAAGAAACUAUAGUCCAAACAGGGAGGGGACUUUUCCAAAGUCCCACCUGAAACGUGUGGCCGUUAAGAACCAGAACUCAGGCCUCCUGCCCUUUACUCUAGCGUCUCCCCUACAAGAUCUGGGCUUGGAGCCCAGGCACUGAUUUAUGGAUUUAAUGAGCAUUUCGGCUAUUGAGCAAUGACUAAUGCAUCAGCCAAGCACUCUUUUCCUGAACAAGGCUGGAGCCUUGGGAAGGACACCGGUAGAUUUAAGAGAUACAGAAGAAGUGACUGCUGCCCUCUGGAAGACUGAAAACCCUCCAGGGAUGAGGUUCACAUGCAAACAAUGAACUGUAGCCUCCUUAAAUGCUGGCUUGUGGUCACACUGCUCACCCCCUCUUUUCCACAUCAGUAUGGGGUGGCAUUCCUUCCAGUCCUGUUCCGUCCCACAAGGCAGGUACUGACAGAGGCCUCCCAUGGCCCCAGUACUGAGACAGGCAGGAGCUGUUUGUCCAUUUUAAUGAAAAACAUCUCCAAUAAAAGGACUCACUUUGUAGGACUGAGGAGUUCACAGGCAAAGAAAGAAGGGAAAAGGCUCAGGCAGGAAGUCUUUUAUGAUUUAUCAGUGCACAAAUACUGGAAAAAGAAAAAAACCCAGGGCUAAUAUGAAUAAUUAUGCCAGCUUUUGUAUAGCACUUUGCAGUUGACGACGUGCUUUUGAAUGCAUUAUGUUAUCUCAUCACAUCAGUGGGAGAUUGGGGAAGGGGAGAGCAGAGGGGGCUGUCACCUCUGGGAAAUCAGCAGCCUCUGUUCCUGGGAGUCCAGCCUGGCUCAGUGGGUGGGCGCUACUGCUGAAGUUAUCUUGCUGUGAACGUCCCCUCGGAAAUGACCCCCUGAGUUGCUGUUGUCCCACAGAAACUUUAGCAAGUCUCUCCAGAUUAUAAACUGGAGUCAGUUCUAGUUUCCCUGCCUGGAACCCCACUUCUCCUUGAGCCGAAUGCUUGGCUGGUGCUGGACGUCCUUCCUGGCCCCUGCAGGCUGCUCUGGGAAGGGCUGGGCUCCGUGCUUGUGCCCUCGGCUGCUGGUAGAGUCCUCCUUCAACACAGCUGGGCCCAGGCUAGGACGAAGGUGCUGCCACAGAUGGGACUUUGCCAGGUGGCACAGUCCUGAGAUUUCUGCUGCCAUGCGUGCCCAUCCGUAAUAGGUCCUUUAGACACUGUGGGUGGCGAAGGCGCUGAAAUGCUAUUGCCAAAUAGGAGCACGUGCAGGAAAAUGUCGCUGUAAAACAUUUUUCCAGAACUAGUCUCAUCUUGCUUUCCUUCUGGCGGCAGGAAAAACAGCAAUGGUAACAAAAACACAAACACUACCACCAGCACGAGCAGUCUUUAACCUUGACAACCGAAGGUAGCAUGAUUUCUUCUGGCCUGAAGGGUGCCCCUCCCCACACCCCAGUAAAUAAACCAAUUAAAGUAUAUACUCUCCUUCAGGUCUGUGACUCCCCCCUCCCCCAAUGGGCUCUUCUCCCCUUCCUCCUCCUGCCCACUUUCUUAGGAGGGUGCCCAGGCACAGGAUGUCUUCACUUCUCCAGCUUUGAUGGGCUUGCUGGUCCACCAGUUGACAUGCUUGUCCACUUGUCCUGGGGGCAGCCUCUGGCCUCACCAGCUCCACCGAUGAGGUGCCCACUGCUGGGUGGGGGAGGGGGAGGGACUUGUCUCCUGUGUUGUUGGCUCAGGCAGAGCUCGGCCAUGGAUCCUGGGGCUUGGCGGGAGGAAGCUUCUCAGUUCCUGACGCAACACUCUUUGGACCACAGGAGAUGAGGAGGGAGUGCCAUCUUGGGCCACCUGGACACAUCCGCAGCCUAAUUUACCACCUAAUUUACCACCGUGUGCCGUGCUGAACACCUUGUGCAAGAGACAGUUUUUCUGUGGGCACACUGGUUUUCCUGAGAUCAGCCCUGGGAAGUCAGGAGUAAGCUGCUGUGUGCGGGGGGAUUUCCCUUCAC